Salvelinus namaycush (lake trout) is the source of this 998-nucleotide long non-coding RNA. RefSeq lists it as uncharacterized. The transcript has 2 exons. The record is from RefSeq and is a predicted model, not a curated record. NCBI's taxonomy places the organism in Eukaryota, Metazoa, Chordata, Actinopteri, Salmoniformes, Salmonidae.
AGGACACUGAAAAUGUAGAUUGUCCGUGUCUCCUUAUUCAUCCUGUUUUCAGAUCUGGAUGCGGAUGAAUUCGGGAAGAGUUAGUGAGGAUGGUGACACCUCUAAUUGAAAAGGAAGACAGUAAUGAGGGAAGAAAUCAGCCCAGCACAGCGAUGGUCUGUCACCUUGAGAUUUUUGGCAUCCGGGGAGACAUUCAUCUCCCUGUCCUUCAUGUUCAUAAUCAACCGGCAAGCCAUUUCUUAAAUAGUUAUGGAAACAUUCCAAGCCUUAUACAAAGUGCUAAAAGGUAGUUAGCUAUCUGUCAGUGCCAUCUGCAGAGGCAGAGUGUGAGAUUGUCGCAAAGAAGUUUGAGGAGCUUUGGCAAUUUCCACACUUCAUAGGAUCUUUGGACUGGAAACAUGUCAACAUCCAACACCCCAAGCACAGUGGAUUCCAGUACCACAAUUACAAGGGCAACCACUCCAUUGAAAUAAUGUCUCUGUGGAUGCAGACCUCAAAUUUACCUAUGUCGAUGGUAGAGUGAGUGAUGGGGAGUCUGGAACAAGUGUUCCCUCAGCAAGGCACUACAAUACAGGUCCCUAAAAAUCCCUCCGCCAUCUGCCUUCCCAUCACAGAGUACACCUGUCCCCUAUAUGGUUGUAGCCGGGGCUUUUGGCUUGAAGAAGAACAUCAUGGAAGCCAUACCCAAAGGGCCAACUGACCACAGAGACCACAAUCUUCAACUAUAGGUGAUACUGUAUUUCUUAAAAAUCUUGGUAAUUACGCAAUAGAAGAGAGGCCCCCAUUGAGCGUCAAUGCUGGAAACUACCAUUUCCAAAGGGCCAAGGAAUUUCGGUAAGAGUUCUGUGACUUCUUCAACUCAGAAGCUGGAGAUGAUAGCUUGCAGCAUGGCUGUUACCACUGAACAAUAUCAUAGGCCAUGGAAUAUCACUCUGCUAUUGGUCUGGAUGGAUAGAUAAUUAGAAUCAUGAUUUUAAUAAAGAAACAAUAAAACCCCA